This is a long non-coding RNA of Neofelis nebulosa (Clouded leopard), 676 nucleotides long. RefSeq lists it as uncharacterized. NCBI's taxonomy places the organism in Eukaryota, Metazoa, Chordata, Mammalia, Carnivora, Felidae. The record is from RefSeq and is a predicted model, not a curated record. The transcript has 5 exons.
CCGGGGGGAGCGAGCACCUGACCGCGGGGUCCGUCUGAGACAUCCAGGAGCUCUGAGAACCGCGGAAAGGCGAGGUCGCCCACCCCUGGGUAGCUGAGUUUGACUUUCUAAGACUAGGGCCUGAGGGAAGGUAUUUUUUGAGCUUCACCAGGCAGUUAUGUGUAGCUGCGUGAAUUUCCACUGCCUACUGAUUCUGUGGUGUGGAUAGCAAUGUCUCGGCUGGAGGGUUUGCUUUAGCUGAAGACAGCUUCCAAGAAAUAGUGAAAUAAUACAUCCAGUGAUACCUGUCAAUGGUCUUUUCCUGUCUUUGGUGAGAAGCAAACACAUCAUGUCUACAGAACAUCAACCAAAGAAUAGUUUGAAGCCUAUUUCCAGGAAGAGAAACACUGGAGGUGAGCUACCGCAAUAAAGUGCCCGUGCUGAGGAACAGCAAAAUGAACUGAACAUAUAAAACAAGUUGUAAGGACAGGCCAAACGUCAGGUCUGUAUCUGAGAAUGGAGUUAAUAAUGGAAUGCGGACUCAGGACCCUUUGAGGUUGAGUGGAGAUGAAACAGUAGACCAAGACUGUGCUACCAGCCUUCACAAGUGCAUAAGUCAAAACCCUAUAGUAAUUCUCUUAUUCGAGAAUGUCACUAGUAGUUUUAUUUCUCUAACUUAAUUCUGACACUAUCUCUU